RNAcentral lists this ribosomal RNA (253 nucleotides) under uncultured bacterium. RNAcentral describes it as "partial 16S ribosomal RNA". It matches the Rfam family "Bacterial small subunit ribosomal RNA", at positions 524 to 776 of the family's 1533-position model. The record is from RNAcentral.
UACGAAGGGGGCUAGCGUUGUUCGGAAUUACUGGGCGUAAAGCGCGCGCAGGCGGUCUUCCAAGUCAGUGGUGAAAGCCCGGAGCUCAACUCCGGAACUGCCAUUGAAACUGUUAGACUUGAGGAUGAGAGAGGUGAGUGGAAUUCCCAAUGUAGAGGUGAAAUUCGUAGAUAUUGGGAAGAACACCGGUGGCGAAGGCGGCUCACUGGCUCAUUACUGACGCUCAGGCGCGAUAGCGUGGGGAUCAAACAGG